Molecule: ribosomal RNA, 460 nt
Filed under: uncultured bacterium
Lineage: Bacteria
Description: partial 16S ribosomal RNA
Rfam family: Bacterial small subunit ribosomal RNA
Source: RNAcentral
CCUACGGGGGGCAGCAGUGAGGAAUAUUGGUCAAUGGACGAGAGUCUGAACCAGCCAAGUAGCGUGAAGGAUGACUGCCCUAUGGGUUGUAAACUUCUUUUAUAUGGGAAUAAAAUGUUCCACGUGUGGGAUUUUGUAUGUACCAUAUGAAUAAGGAUCGGCUAACUCCGUGCCAGCAGCCGCGGUAAUACGGAGGAUCCGAGCAUUAUCCGGAUUUAUUGGGUUUAAAGGGAGCGUAGGUGGAUUGUUAAGUCAGUUGUGAAAGUUUGCGGCUCAACCGUAAAAUUGCAGUUGAAACUGGCAGUCUUGAGUACAGUAGAGGUGGGCGGAAUUCGUGGUGUAGCGGUGAAAUGCUUAGAUAUCACGAAGAACUCCGAUUGCGAAGGCAGUUCACUGGACUGCAACUGACACUGAGGCUCGAAAGUGUGGGUAUCAAACAGGAUUAGAUACCCGAGUAGUC